This 293-nucleotide ribosomal RNA is filed under the name uncultured bacterium. Its description in RNAcentral is "partial 16S ribosomal RNA". It matches the Rfam family "Archaeal small subunit ribosomal RNA", at positions 455 to 747 of the family's 1478-position model. The record is from RNAcentral.
GUGCCAGCCGCCGCGGUAAUACCGGCAGCCCGAGUGAUGGCCACUCUUAUUGGGCCUAAAGCGUCCGUAGCUGGCUGCGCAAGUCCGUCGGGAAAUCCACUCGCCCAACGGGUGGCCGUCCGGUGGAAACUGCAUGGCUUGGGACCGGAAGGCGCGACGGGUACGUCCAGGGUAGGAGUGAAAUCCCGUAAUCCUGGACGGACCGCCGAUGGCGAAAGCACGUCGCGAGAACGGAUCCGACAGUGAGGGACGAAAGCUAGGGUCUCGAACCGGAUUAGAAACCCGAGUAGUCC